AUGGCGGCGGACACGGCUGCGACCCGAUCGCCGGAGGAGCGAUCCAAGGCCACCGGCGGUGACGACGUUCAGGACGAGGAGAGACACGCCAAGAAGAUGAGGACCACUCUGGAAGGCGACGACGGCGACGAGGAGUUGGAGAUCUCGUCUCCGCUCCGCGAGCCCUACCUCCCCAAGGAGGUAGACAUGCGCGCCAACCCGCAUAUCCUCGCCGCCUAUAAGCUCGCCCGAGACAAAUUCCAUGAUAAACGAGAUCGCGAGGAGAAGCUGCUCCCCAUGCGCCUAUCAUCACGCUUCGGAUCGUCGCCCCUCCUCAUCCCCGAAUCCGGGAGGAAGGCCGUGCUCUCCACCGCCGGAUCCAUCAUCCGCCUCUCCUCCUCUCUCGGUGGCGAUCCGCUGGCACAGUCCGCCGGUUUCUGGAUCCACUGGGACGAGGGGAGCAAAACCGGCAUUGUCUUAACGACCGCGCAUCUGAUCCGCGCCAACAAGCCGCUGGCCAAAGACUACUGGGCGAAAAAAGACCGGUACCAGUAUCAUCCCGGUGCUCAAGUUACUGCUCACUUGCUCGACGACACCACCACGGAGGGCCGUCUGCUCUAUCACCAGGAGCAUUACGACCUUGCUUUCUUUAAGAUUGCAAUGGAUCAGAGUGUUCAAGUAGCCUCUUUCGCUGACACGUUCAACAGCGGCCAGCAGGCUUUGCGGCUCGGAAGAGAUGGAAAUUUGAUUUUAAGGAUAACUCUUGGCAAGAUGACACAAGGUGACUUCGUGCAUUUUUGCCGAGAUAAAAAAUACGAGGAGGCGGAGACACGGAAGAGAGAGAGUGCACGGAAUGGACCGGGAUAUACUUCAUACGCAUCAGUUCCCAAGUCUGAGUUACAUUCCGACGAUGGAGGAGAGCCGGUCAUUGACUUUGAUGGAAAGGUUGUGGGGAUGAUCAAUGAUUGUCAACGUGGGUCCUUUGUUCCUUUUUUCAUUUUGAAUAGGUGCAUGGAACUCUGGAGGAAUUUCGGGUGCAUCCCUCGGCCCCACCUUGGAUUGCAGUUUAAGGCCAUCAAGUUUCUAGAUCCCUCUCAUGUUGAGUACAUAUGGCGCAAGCUAAAAAUUGAUGAAGGUCUUCUUGUUGAAGAGGUGUCAAUGGGAUCUCAUGCUGAAAAAGUUGGAAUCCGAGUAGGUGAUAUUAUUGGCAGCAUUGAUGGAGAACGUAUUUCUACCAGAAUUGAGUUGGAAAAAAAGUUGUUGAGCAUAUCAAUGGGCAGUUUUCAUGGGGGAAAUGACAUUAAUGUCAAAGUGGACAUUUCUGUCCAGGUAUUUCACACGAACAACCGUCUUUGGAGGGAUAAACAUUUAAAUGUAAAUAUAUUGGAUCACCGAGAAGUUGUUGAACGAGCUUUUUAUCUCAUCACAAAUGGAGAAGGGUUUUCACCCCCUGUAUCACCUGACCAAGAUUAG
This 1452-nucleotide ribosomal RNA is filed under the name Triticum aestivum (bread wheat). Its description in RNAcentral is "partial small subunit ribosomal RNA". Lineage: Eukaryota; Viridiplantae; Streptophyta; Magnoliopsida; Poales; Poaceae. The record is from RNAcentral.